AACGUAGGAGGCGAGCGUUAUCCGGAUUUACUGGGCGUAAAGCGUGCGCAGGCGGCUCGGCCAGUCGGACGUGAAAGCUCCUGGCUUAACUGGGAGAGGUCGUUCGAUACUGCGGGGCUUGAGGUUGGGAGAGGGGUGCGGAAUUCCCGGUGUAGUGGUGGAAUGCGUAGAGAUCGGGAGGAACACCUGUGGCGAAAGCGGCACCCUGGCCCACACCUGACGCUGAGGUACGAAAGCGUGGGGAGCAAACAGG
This 253-nucleotide ribosomal RNA is filed under the name uncultured Caldilinea sp. Its description in RNAcentral is "partial 16S ribosomal RNA". It matches the Rfam family "Bacterial small subunit ribosomal RNA", at positions 524 to 776 of the family's 1533-position model. Lineage: Bacteria; Bacillati; Chloroflexota; Caldilineae; Caldilineales; Caldilineaceae. The record is from RNAcentral.